UACAGAGGGUGCGAGCGUUGUCCGGAAUCACUGGGCGUAAAGGGCGCGUAGGCGGCUUGAUAAGCGUGCGGUGAAAGCCCGGGGCUCAACCCCGGGUCGGCCGUGCGAACUGUCGAGCUGGAGCACUGUAGAGGCAGGUGGAAUUCCGGGUGUAGCGGUGGAAUGCGUAGAGAUCGAGAGGAACACCAGUGGCGAAGGCGAGUCUCUGGACGACUCCUGACACUGAGGCACGAAAGCUAGGGGAGCAAACAGG
RNAcentral lists this ribosomal RNA (253 nucleotides) under uncultured bacterium. RNAcentral's name for it is "partial 16S ribosomal RNA". It matches the Rfam family "Bacterial small subunit ribosomal RNA", at positions 524 to 776 of the family's 1533-position model. The record is from RNAcentral.